AAGGAGUUAGUUUAAGCAUAACCUCGGCUCGUCAGCCCGAAAUUGUUAGUGAAACCCUAGCACUCCUUU
Molecule: transfer RNA, 69 nt
Filed under: Yoda sp. d ASH-2021
Lineage: Eukaryota; Metazoa; Hemichordata; Enteropneusta; Torquaratoridae
Description: tRNA-Asp
Source: RNAcentral